This is a non-coding RNA of Pelodiscus sinensis (Chinese soft-shelled turtle), 1553 nucleotides long. The record is from RefSeq and is a predicted model, not a curated record. NCBI's taxonomy places the organism in Eukaryota, Metazoa, Chordata, Testudines, Trionychidae.
GAGAGAGGGUUUUUUCUCUCUCUUCUUUGUUUGAGACAGAGCAGUUUUUUCUGGGUAUGGAUAGAGACAGGCUUUCCCAGGAAUGGACUUCUUGAAAUGUAGGAGGAUUAAAGAAGUUGAAGGUACCCCAUAAUAAGAUUCUCAAAUGUCUUCCUGGGCUCUCAAAGGAGUUCUUGUAUUGGGUGGUGGCAGAGGUACCAUUCAAGGUCAGGAAACCUGUGAUCUUGGGCAGUCUUCAACUAGAAAUCUUUAGUGGUCCUGGAUUUCUACCACUAUAGGUCUGAGAUGGAUCACACAGAGGACACUUGAUGGAUGUAAGCCUUGCAAAAUUCAUGAUGCCAAAAUAUCAGAGAAUUCCAGUUUGUACAGGAAGAGACAGGUGGGCACACUGUUCUUCAGCAACAGGGAAAGAAUGGUGUAUCUGCUAACUAUUUCUCUGGAAUUCUUCCACUCUAUGCAGAACUAGCUGAUGAAGUUGUGCCCCGAAUUAUGAACCUGUUGUUGAUUCUGCAACUGCCUCAGCUGCCCAGUGAUAAUGGCUAAUUAUGGUCCUUAAAAGAGAUCAAAAUGCCUACUUGAUGUAAAAUGAUACCUCUUUUGAGGUUUGUUUUUUUUCAAAGACACAGCAAUUUCUUUUUGAUCUUAUCAUUAAAAUACAGAAAGACUUGCAGAACACACACUGGAGGUAGCCCAUUGUUUAACCCUUUUAUCACCAUGCUUACAGUUCCCUUGUGAAAGCAAGGUAAUUUAUUUGCACAACAUUAUUUUGUUAAUCAGCAUCCACUGAAUUUUAAUAAAAAGCAAAACAUAUUUUUAAAAAUGCAGUAGAGAUGUUAUCUCUUGACAACUCCUGUUUGUCAAGUGAUUGGGUAAAACUGUUUUAGUUAUACAUUCCAUUGCUACCGAUUGAUGAUGAAUGAGAGAGAUGUUCCUGCUGGGAUAUGGAAAUUUGAUCCUGAUGCCUCUGAACACAGGCACAGGUGAAUGAGGCCUGUGCUUUUUAUAAUAUCUGCCACCUCUCACUGACAAAUUAACUCUGGGCUGUAAAUCACUGAUGUUAGGAACACUACCCUAAAGUUACACUUGUUUCCGUGUUCCUUUGCGCCUUCAUAUGCAAUAUGAAGAGGGGAACAGAAUAUACCUUUUGAGAUGUCCAGGAAACUUUAUAACAAGUUCUUUCUUUUUUCUUUCAGACAUUAAUCUCUCUCUAAGCACCUUCUCUCCUUUACAGUUCUUUCUCCCCUUCUUCAAGACAGGAUGACAAGGAAGGGUAGAAGCAGGUCUGGGUUAAUGAAUAUCCAUUCAGUGUACUUGUCCAAGAUCCCAUUUUAGCUCCCUCCCCUCCAAGUUCCCUCUAAGCUGUGCAGCCAUCCAGCCACUCAGCUACCCAGGUCCAUCCUUAGGAUUUACAGGGCCCUAUGUAGUACUAUUAAGCUCGGCCCCUAUGACCCACAUGGCAGCCAGGGACGGGGAGGGACAAUGAUUUUUUAAGAGAUGUGAUUUUAUAAUCUUCAGCAACACACUCAUGAAAUAUUUUUAAAACAAAUUUUAAA